This 980-nucleotide long non-coding RNA is filed under the name Marmota monax (woodchuck). Lineage: Eukaryota; Metazoa; Chordata; Mammalia; Rodentia; Sciuridae. The record is from RNAcentral.
UCCCACUUGCUAACUCCAUGAACUUGAGUGACUAUAACAGUGGCUCAGUUUCCGUACCUAUAAAAUAGGGGUAAGAAGACCUGUGGGUUGCAGAGAGGCUUUAUGUUUAAGUGCCCAGGCUUGCUUGCUGAAUAUCCCUGGGCAACUGACCACUCUAUGUCUAAGUUUUCUUGUCUGUAAAAUGGGGAUGAAGAUACAUGGUUCACAGAGUUCGUGAGGCUUAAACAAACCCAUGCCUAAAAUACAGGGUAGCUUCUGUUCACAAUUACUAUAAAUGAGGGAGUGACAGGGAGAUGCCCUUACAACCUGGAUUUGAGAUUAUUGGUUUAAGUCAGAGUGACUCACCAGGCCAGAAACCCGAUGAGCUGGCUGUGGAGGAAGCUUUCUUCAAAAAUGCUCUGUGUCCCAGCAGGUAGCUGGACUGGGGAACACCCGCCUCUGUUUGAGACCUCAAAAACAUGACCAGAAAAAAAAAAUGACCAGAAUGGAUGUAGUUAAGAAGGUCAAACCUUCUUCUUUAGGAAGAAGGUGGGCCUUGUAAAAUCCAGAAGGAGCAGGUACCUGGCUGUGUUUGCUCAGGUGAGAGUAGACAUAGAAGUUGUGCUGGGUUUGUGUGUCAGAGAGGGGAGGGUACUGACUCCACCAGAGCCCAUGUUAAAUCUCUUAAAACUAUUACUUGGGGUCCUGGUUUUCCAAACAACCUGCAGAUGAACUUCACACUAGCAAAAUGCCCCCUGGAUCCAGGCAGACACCAGUGUUCCAGUUCUUGUGUUGUAAACAUUCUACACUUCUAUUAUUUCUUUAUAGCACAAAUUCAUUGUGAAAGAAUUUGAAAAUCAACUAAGCAAAACUGGAAAAGAACCACAUACAGAGACAUUAUGUUUUGGCAUAUAACCUUGGACCUUUUAUAUCCCCAUAUCUACAUGUAAAUGCCCAUAAUAAAACUAUACAUAAUGUUGCUAAACAAAUGAAUAUAUAUG